This is a long non-coding RNA of Onychostoma macrolepis, 340 nucleotides long. RefSeq lists it as uncharacterized. The record is from RefSeq and is a predicted model, not a curated record. The transcript has 3 exons. Lineage: Eukaryota; Metazoa; Chordata; Actinopteri; Cypriniformes; Cyprinidae.
ACAAAAUGAACCCGCGACCGCGUGAAAGCAGCUGUAAAACUUCACAUUUGUAUGCUACUGAUGAAUAUUGCAGAACACGGAAAGCGUGUCAGGAAACCUGUUCCCUUCAGUACUCCACGUACCAGAUGUUGUCAGUGUUUCAAUAGACGGUGACAGAGAAGGGCACGUGUGUAGCUCUCAGAGCAGGAAAGAAAAAUCACUGCCCUGUUUUUAGGAUUGAAUGGUGUCAUCAGCCAGUCACCUGUAAGUAUGUUGAAAUCUUUGCUCGUUGUCACUCAUACAGCGCUGUGCUUCAUUAAAACAACCAAGUUUCUAAGCCAAAUAGUUCAAAAGUAAGAAG